This 922-nucleotide ribosomal RNA is filed under the name Pedobacter sp. CB 286477. Its description in RNAcentral is "bacterial SSU rRNA". It matches the Rfam family "Bacterial small subunit ribosomal RNA", at positions 81 to 1004 of the family's 1533-position model. Lineage: Bacteria; Pseudomonadati; Bacteroidota; Sphingobacteriia; Sphingobacteriales; Sphingobacteriaceae. The record is from RNAcentral.
UGCUCAUUGGGAAAGUGGCGCACGGGUGCGUAACGCGUAUGCAACCUACCUUAAUCAGGGGGAUAGCCCGAAGAAAUUCGGAUUAACACCGCAUAAAAACACAGGAUAGCAUUAUCCAAUGUUCAAAUAUUUAUAGGAUUAAGAUGGGCAUGCGUGUCAUUAGCUAGUUGGCGGGGUAACGGCCCACCAAGGCGACGAUGACUAGGGGAUCUGAGAGGAUGACCCCCCACACUGGUACUGAGACACGGACCAGACUCCUACGGGAGGCAGCAGUAAGGAAUAUUGGUCAAUGGAGGCAACUCUGAACCAGCCAUGCCGCGUGCAGGAAGACAGCCCUCUGGGUCGUAAACUGCUUUUAUUCGGGAAUAAACCACAUUACGUGUAGUGUGCUGAAUGUACCGAAGGAAUAAGGAUCGGCUAACUCCGUGCCAGCAGCCGCGGUAAUACGGAGGAUCCAAGCGUUAUCCGGAUUUAUUGGGUUUAAAGGGUGCGUAGGCGGCUUAUUAAGUCAGGGGUGAAAGACGGUGGCUCAACCAUCGCAGUGCCCUUGAUACUGAUGAGCUUGAAUACACUAGAGGUAGGCGGAAUGUGACAAGUAGCGGUGAAAUGCAUAGAUAUGUCACAGAACACCGAUUGCGAAGGCAGCUUACUAUGGUGUGAUUGACGCUGAGGCACGAAAGCGUGGGGAUCAAACAGGAUUAGAUACCCUGGUAGUCCACGCCCUAAACGAUGAAUACUCGCUGUUAGCGAUACACAGUUAGCGGCUAAGCGAAAGCGUUAAGUAUUCCACCUGGGGAGUACGCCCGCAAGGGUGAAACUCAAAGGAAUUGACGGGGGCCCGCACAAGCGGAGGAGCAUGUGGUUUAAUUCGAUGAUACGCGAGGAACCUUACCCGGGCUUGAAAGUUAGUGAAUCAUUUAGA